GUCCACACCGUAAACGAUGAUUACUAGGUGUUGGAGGAUUGACCCCUUCAGUGCCGCAGUUAACACAAUAAGUAAUCCACCUGGGGAGUACGACCGCAAGGUUGAAACUCAAAGGAAUUGACGGGGGCCCGCACAAGCAGUGGAGUAUGUGGUUUAAUUCGACGCAACGCGAAGAACCUUACCAAGUCUUGACAUCCUGCGACGGUGCUAGAAAUAGUAUUUUCCUUCGGGACGCAGAGACAGGUGGUGCAUGGUUGUCGU
This 261-nucleotide ribosomal RNA is filed under the name uncultured bacterium. RNAcentral's name for it is "partial 16S ribosomal RNA". It matches the Rfam family "Bacterial small subunit ribosomal RNA", at positions 793 to 1055 of the family's 1533-position model. The record is from RNAcentral.